This 72-nucleotide transfer RNA is filed under the name Schistosoma mansoni. The record is from RNAcentral. Lineage: Eukaryota; Metazoa; Platyhelminthes; Trematoda; Strigeidida; Schistosomatidae.
ACUGUACGUAUUGCCUCGAUAUAGCCUUAAUUCACAAGCGAAAGGUACUGGGUUCGAGUCCCAGAGUGGACA